ACAAACUUUAUAAUCUAUAAAAUGAUAGAACCAUUUAUUACUUGGAAAGGAAGAAACAUGGCUAAAAUUGUAAAGUUUGUUUAUGUUAUGAUUAUCAUAUUUUCUCUAUUUUUUUCUGCUACAAACGUUGAAUGUAAGUUAUUUUUAUCCUUUUCAAAUUUUCUUAUCUAGUUUACAAUAUUUUAAGUAAUAUAACUUACAUUACUUAAUCAUAUUUUAUCCUUACAGCUUUCUAUCCUACUAGACCAUGUUCAUCGGAUAAGUAUUGUCCUCCACAUAGGUGUCCAAAACCAAAGAUAACAGUGUGUAUCAAAGAAUGGUGUAGAUGUGUAGAUGUGUAGAAGCGUAUAUAUCUUCUUAAUUUUAUACUACCUUACUUAUUAAGAAAAUUAAUAAUUAUUAUAUAAAAAAUAGUACUUUUUUAGUAUAAGUUAUUUUGAAAAAAUAUUUUAUAUUAUUAUUUUAUAAUAUAAUUAAUCAUUAAUGUUAUUUUUCCUAUUAUAUCUUUAAAUAUUUUUUA
RNAcentral lists this long non-coding RNA (520 nucleotides) under Lathyrus oleraceus (garden pea). RNAcentral describes it as "Pisum sativum (pea) long non-coding RNA (PSAT_LNC019694)". The record is from RNAcentral. Lineage: Eukaryota; Viridiplantae; Streptophyta; Magnoliopsida; Fabales; Fabaceae.